RNAcentral lists this ribosomal RNA (1305 nucleotides) under human gut metagenome. RNAcentral describes it as "bacterial LSU rRNA". It matches the Rfam family "Bacterial large subunit ribosomal RNA", at positions 1132 to 2451 of the family's 2925-position model. The record is from RNAcentral.
GCGUAAUAGCUCACUGGUCGAGUGACGCUGCGCCGAAGAUUCCCGGGGCUAAAACCUUACACCGAAGCUUAGGAUUCAUAGAGAUAUGAGUGGUAGAGGAGCAAUGUAUGCGGGCAGAAGCCGUAUCGAAAGGGGCGGUGGACUGCAUACAAGAGAGAAUGCCGGCAUAAGUAGCGAGAGAGAAGUGAGAAACUUUUCCGUCGAAAGCCUAAGGUUUCCUGGGGAAGGUUCGUCCGCCCAGGGUAAGUCGGGACCUAAGUUGAGGCCGAAAGGCGUAGAUGAUGGACAACGGGUAGAUAUUCCCGUACCACCGCAAUAGUUCGAAGCAGGGACACAGAAGGAUAGUCGGACUCCGGGGAUGGAAAGCCGGGGCUAAGUCAUGAGGCCGGCACGUAGUGAAGUACGCGUGUCGUGAGGCUGGGUGACGAUGGGGAGCGAAAACUAGUAGCGAAGCCGAUGAAUUCACGCUGGCGAGAAAAACUGCUAAGGUAGAUAUUGAGGUGCCCGUACCGCAAACCGACACAGGUAGGCGGCAAGAGAAUUGCAAGACGAACGGGAUAACCAUUGGUUAAGGAACUCGGCAAAAUGACCCCGUAACUUAGGGAGAAGGGGAGCCUAGCGAUAGGUCGCAGUGAAAAGGCCCAAGCGACUGUUUAUCUAAAACACAGGUCUCUGCAAAAGCGCAAGCUGAAGUAUAGGGGCUGACGCCUGCCCGGUGCUGGAAGGUCAAGGGGAAGAGUUAGGAGAAAAUCCGAAGCUUAGAACUUAAGCCCCAGUGAACGGCGGCCGUAACUAUAACGGUCCUAAGGUAGCGAAAUUCCUUGUCAGGUAAGUUCUGACCCGCAUGAAUGGCGUAACGAUUUGGGCGCUGUCUCAACCAUGGACCCGGCGAAAUUGUAGUAUAUGUGAAGAUGCAUAUUACCUGCGACUGGACGGAAAGACCCCGUAGAGCUUCACUGUAAGUUGAUAUUGAAUUUCGGUAAUAAAUGCACAGGAUAGGUGGGAGGCUGAGAAGAUGCUGCUUCGGCAGUAUCGGAGCCGACGUUGGGAUACCACCCUUUUGUUACUGGACUUCUAACGCUAUGCGCUGAGUCGCGGUGGCGGACAUUGUCAGCUGGACAGUUUGACUGGGGCGGUCGCCUCCUAAAGAGUAACGGAGGCGUUCAAAGGUUCCCUCAGGAUGGUUGGAAACCAUUCACAGAGUAUAAAGGCAGAAGGGAGCUUGACUGCGAGACCAACAAGUCGAGCAGAUACGAAAGUAGGACUUAGUGAUCCGGCGGUAGAGAAUGGAAUUGCCGUCGCUUA